UGUAACCGGUGAUAGGUCGAUGGCUGUACCGGUACACAUUUUGUACCGGUACACUUUUGAUGGUUGUACCGGUACACUUGUGGCGAAUUUCAAACCCGAGCCUCGGGUUUGCAUUUUCGUAGGAUUUGUACCGGUACACUUUCCCGUGUACCGGUACACUUUGGCAGAUUCUGAGCAGUUUGAACUACAGGGGGUUUUUCGC
RNAcentral lists this long non-coding RNA (202 nucleotides) under Ananas comosus (pineapple). Its description in RNAcentral is "long non-coding RNA (ACOM_LNC043698)". Lineage: Eukaryota; Viridiplantae; Streptophyta; Magnoliopsida; Poales; Bromeliaceae. The record is from RNAcentral.